UGGUGGAGCGAUUUGUCUGGUUAAUUCCGAUAACGAACGAGACUCUAGCCUAUUAAAUAGUUCGCCGAUUUUUCGAGUCGGCGUCAACUUCUUAGAGGGACAAUGUCGUAUAGGCACGCGAGAUUGAGCAAUAACA
RNAcentral lists this ribosomal RNA (136 nucleotides) under uncultured eukaryote. RNAcentral describes it as "partial 18S ribosomal RNA". It matches the Rfam family "Eukaryotic small subunit ribosomal RNA", at positions 1299 to 1458 of the family's 1831-position model. The record is from RNAcentral.